Molecule: ribosomal RNA, 465 nt
Filed under: Vreelandella stevensii
Lineage: Bacteria; Pseudomonadati; Pseudomonadota; Gammaproteobacteria; Oceanospirillales; Halomonadaceae
Description: partial 16S ribosomal RNA
Rfam family: Bacterial small subunit ribosomal RNA
Source: RNAcentral
CCUACGGGAGGCUGCAGUGGGGAAUAUUGGACAAUGGGGGGAACCCUGAUCCAGCCAUGCCGCGUGUGUGAAGAAGGCCCUCGGGUUGUAAAGCACUUUCAGUGAGGAAGAACGCCUGGUGGUUAAUACCCAUCAGGAAAGACAUCACUCACAGAAGAAGCACCGCCUAACUCCGUGCCAGCAGCCGCGGUAAUACGGAGGGUGCGAGCGUUAAUCGGAAUUACUGGGCGUAAAGCGCGCGUAGGUGGCUUGAUAAGCCGGUUGUGAAAGCCCCGGGCUCAACCUGGGAACGGCAUCCGGAACUGUCCAGCUAGAGUGCAGGAGAGGAAGGUAGAAUUCCCGGUGUAGCGGUGAAAUGCGUAGAGAUCGGGAGGAAUACCAGUGGCGAAGGCGGCCUUCUGGACUGACACUGACACUGAGGUGCGAAAGCGUGGGUAGCAAACAGGAUUAGAUACCCGUGUAGUC